GCUGGCUUAGCUCAAUUAGGCAGAGCAGCUGAUUUGUAAUCAGCAGGUUGAUGGUUCGAUUCCAUUAGCCAGCUCCA
RNAcentral lists this transfer RNA (77 nucleotides) under Bacillota bacterium. Its description in RNAcentral is "tRNA-Thr". It matches the Rfam family "tRNA". From Rfam's summary of the family: Transfer RNA (tRNA) molecules are approximately 80 nucleotides in length. Their secondary structure includes four short double-helical elements and three loops (D, anti-codon, and T loops). Further hydrogen bonds mediate the characteristic L-shaped molecular structure. tRNAs have two regions of fundamental functional importance: the anti-codon, which is responsible for specific mRNA codon recognition, and the 3' end, to which the tRNAs corresponding amino acid is attached (by aminoacyl-tRNA synthetases). tRNAs cope with the degeneracy of the genetic code in two manners: having more than one tRNA (with a specific anti-codon) for a particular amino acid; and 'wobble' base-pairing, i.e. permitting non-standard base-pairing at the 3rd anti-codon position. The record is from RNAcentral. Lineage: Bacteria; Bacillati; Bacillota. RNAcentral also lists the same sequence under 3 other names.